Molecule: unclassified non-coding RNA, 318 nt
Filed under: plant metagenome
Description: partial contains 5.8S ribosomal RNA, internal transcribed spacer 2, and large subunit ribosomal RNA
Rfam family: 5.8S ribosomal RNA (bases 1-105)
Source: RNAcentral
GAAAUGCGAUAAGUAAUGUGAAUUGCAGAAUUCAGUCAAUCAUCGAAUCUUUGAACGCACAUUGCGCCCGCCAGAAUUCUGGCGGGCAUGCCUGUUCGAGCGUCAUUUCAACCCUCGAGCUCCCCUUUCGGGGGGAGCCCGGCGUUGGGGACCCGGCGCUAACAACGCCGGCCCCGAAAUGGAGUGGCGGCCCGUCCGCGGCGACCUCUGCGUAGUAACAACCACUCGCACCGGGACCCGGGCGCGGCCACGCCGUAAAACACCCCACCUUCCGAAUGUUGACCUCGAAUCAGGUAGGAAUACCCGCUGAACUUAAGC